RNAcentral lists this transfer RNA (77 nucleotides) under Paracoccaceae bacterium. RNAcentral describes it as "Rhodobacteraceae bacterium (aquatic metagenome) tRNA-Arg". It matches the Rfam family "tRNA". Rfam says of the family: Transfer RNA (tRNA) molecules are approximately 80 nucleotides in length. Their secondary structure includes four short double-helical elements and three loops (D, anti-codon, and T loops). The record is from RNAcentral. Lineage: Bacteria; Pseudomonadati; Pseudomonadota; Alphaproteobacteria; Rhodobacterales; Paracoccaceae.
GCACCGGUAGCUCAGCUGGAUAGAGCACUUGACUUCGAAUCAAGGGGCCGUGGGUUCGAAUCCUACCCGGUGCACCA